GGGAGAAGAGGGGCCGUGGCGCCAUCGCGCAGCUUCCUGGUUUCGGCCAUGUUUUUUUUUUUUUGAGACGGAGUUUCGCUCUUUUUGCCCAGGCUGGAGGGCAAUGGCGCCGUCUCGGCUCCCUGCAGCCGCCGCCUCCCGGGUUGAAGGGACUCUCCGGCCUCAGGCCGCGGUGUUCUUGUAAAUUAGAACCGGCCUAUGCGCCAAGCGCGGGUCUCGCGGCUGCGGAGAGAGGCCCAGCAGGGGGCGGGGACGCCGGGAGGCGGGGCCUGGCCGAGCUGCGCACACCCGGGUGGUUCUGGCUACGGGUACCCGGACCUGCCCAACGACCGUUCUCCAUUCCCGACCUCCGCACCCUACCCGGUCCGCAGGGCACCUUCCUCCUCUCUCUCAGGCACGUCCUCGACCUCAGUUGCCACGUGCACAUGCUGGUGCCUUCCAGGCUGGAGUAUAGUGGCAUGAUCAUAGAUCACUGCAGCCUCAAACUCCUGGGCUCAAGCGAUCCUCCCACCUCAGCCUCCAUAUAGCUGGUGGGGACCAAGUUUCUAACACAUGAAUGUUGGGAGACACAUUCAGACCAUCGCAGUGGCCUUAUAAAAAGAGACACAAGAGCUUGCUCUCUGCCAUGUGAGAAUACCACAAGAAGACUGUCCUCAGCAAAUCAGAAAGCGGGUGGACCCUCAUCAGACACCAGAUGUGCCUGCACCUUGAUCUUGGACUUGCCAGCCUUCAGAACAGUAAGAAAGAAAUGUGUGUUGUUUAAGCCACCCAGUCUAUGGUAACUUGCUAUAGCAGCCCACUAGGAGACCCCAAGAUAUUUAAAAACUCAUCAGCACCUGCUUUCUGCAUCUGGACCCUGAUCUUCUGGUGGGUUUACCAGUUACUUGUAGAGUGUCCCUGUGAUAGUUUUAGGUGUCAACUUGACAGGAUUGAGGGAUGCCUAGAUGGCUGGGGAAGCACUGUUUCUGAGAAGGACCAUGUUUUUGGAGGAGACUGUUUUAUGAGUGAAUUUCAGGGGACACAUUCAGAUCAUGGCAGUGGCAUUAUAAAGAGAGACACAAAAGCUUGCUCUCUCUCUCUGCCAUGUAAGACUACCACACAAAGACUGCCAUCUGCAAACCAGAAGCAGGUGGGCUUUCCUCAGACACCAGAUCUGCCUGCACCUUGAUCUUGGACUUGCCAGCCUUCAGAACUCUAAGAAAGAAAUGGUAGCAUGGCUUGGUCUAAGUUGGAAGGCCUGAGAAACAAGCACAUGGUGGAACUGAGUUCAAGGAUAAAGACUUGAGAAUACCUGCUCAGUGGACUGAGUAGGGAAGAUCAACCCUCAAUGUAGGCAGGCACUAUCCAAUCACCUGAGGGCCCAGAUGGAACAAAAAGGUGGAAGAAGGGUGAAUUCUCUCUUCCAGAGCUGUGACACCCUUCUCAUGCCCUUGUACCACACAACUCUAGGUCCUUUGGCCUUUGGACUCUGACACUUGCACCAGUGGCCCUCUGGGGCUCUCAAGCCUUUAGCCUUGAACUUAGUUACACCAUGUGCCUCCUUGUUUCUCAGGCCUUCCAACUUGGAUCAGGCCAUGCCACCGGCUUCUCUGAUUCUCCAGCUUGCAGAUGGUAUAUUGUGACCCUGGCAUUUAAUAACUAUGACUUUGGUCUUAAGCAAUUUUCUUCCUCUGUGGAUUGAUAUUUACAUAUCAAUGUGGAUAAUAAUUUCUUACCACGGUAACUGUUGUGAGGUAAAAAUGAGUUAACAUAAGUAAAACCGAGCACAUGCAAACCAUCCGAAAUGGUUAAUACUUACUAUUUGUACUU
Molecule: long non-coding RNA, 1809 nt
Organism: Homo sapiens (human)
Lineage: Eukaryota; Metazoa; Chordata; Mammalia; Primates; Hominidae
Product: long intergenic non-protein coding RNA 847
Source: Ensembl